This 1601-nucleotide ribosomal RNA is filed under the name Candidatus Woesearchaeota archaeon B3_Woes. RNAcentral describes it as "bacterial SSU rRNA". It matches the Rfam family "Archaeal small subunit ribosomal RNA". The record is from RNAcentral. Lineage: Archaea; Nanobdellati; Candidatus Woesearchaeota.
AUACCCGUUGAUCCUGCGGGAAGUUGCUGCUAUUUGGGUUCGACUAAGCCAUGCAAGCACGGACUUUUUAGAAGUACCGGCAUAUUGCUCAGUAACACGUCGAUAAUCUAACCUUAAGUCUAGGAUAACCUUGGGAAACUGAGGGUAAGACUGGAUAAAGGAAAGGCACUGGAAUGUCCUUUCCUUUAAAAGUAAUGCUUAAGGAUGAGUCGGCGGCGGAUUAGGUAGUUGGUGAGGUAAAGGCUCACCAAGCCGAAGAUCUGUAGGGGCCUUGAGAGAGGGAGCCCCGAGAAGGGCACUGAGAUACUGGCCCUAGCCCUACGGGGUGCAGCAGGCGCGAAACCUUUACAAUGCACGAAAGUGUGAUAAGGGAACCCAAAGUGCUUAGUUUAACUAGGCUUUUGCCAAGAGUAAAUAUCUUGGAGAAUAAGUGGUGGGCAAGACUGGUGCCAGCCGCCGCGGUAAUACCAGCGCCACGAGUGGGAACUAUAAUUAUUGGGCCUAAAGCGUCCGUAGCCGGUUUAAUAAAUUUCUUGUGAAAUUGUUGAGCUUAACUUAACAACGUGCAGGAAAGACUGUUAAACUUGGGAUUGGGAGGGGUUAGAAGUAUCUUUGGAGUAGCGGUAAAAUGUUAUAAUUCUAAGGAGACUACCAAUGGCGAAGGCAUCUAACCAGAACAAGUCCGACGGUGAGGGACGAAAGCUAGGGGAGCAAACCGGAUUAGAUACAAAUGAAGCGUCAUUUGAUAACGCACGCAAGUGCAACAUUAGCUACGCUAAGUUGCACGACAUAUAUGUUGUUUGCAAACAAAACUAUUAACAUAUAAAUGUGCUAAUAUAUCGUUUCAUUAAUGCUAAAGACCCGAGUAGUCCUAGCCGUAAACGCUGCGAGCAAGAUGUUGCAUAUUCUUCGUGAAUAUGCAGUAUCGAAGAGAAGUCGUUAAGCUCGCCGCCUGGGAAGUAUGGUCGCAAGACUGAAACUUAAAGGAAUUGGCGGGGGAGCACUACAAAGGGUGCGGCGUGCGGUUUAAUCUAACUCAACGCAGAGAAUCUCACCAGAAGCGACGGUAGAAUGAAAGUCAGAUUAAAGGUCUUACUUGACGAGCCGAGAGGUAGUGCAUGGCCGCCGUCAGCUCGUUCCGUAAGGUGUCCUGUUAAGUCAGGCAACGAGCGAGACCUGUACCUAUAAUUGCCAGCAGCAGAAUUUCUGGACUGGGCACAUUAUGGGGACUGCCCUGGAAACAGGGAGGAAGGUGCAGGCUACGGUAGGUCUGUAUGCUCCGAAUCUUCUGGGCUACACGCGCGCAACAAUGGUAGAGACAAUGGGAUGCAACUCCGAAAGGAGAAGCUAAUCCUCCAAACUCUAUCUCAGUUCAGAUUGAGGAUUGUAACUCAUCCUCAUGACGCUGGAAUCCCUAGUAAUCAGGUCUUAUCAUGGCCCGGUGAAUAUGUCCCUGCUCCUUGCACACACUGCCCGUCAAAUCAACCGAGUUGAGCUUAGAUGAGAUUUAAUUUUUUGAUUAAAGCGAAUCUGGGCUUAGUGAGGUGGGUUAAGUCGUCACAAGGUCACCGUAGGGGAACCUGCGGUGGGAUCACCUCCUU